AGAGUUUGAUCAUGGCUCAGAAUCAACGCUGGCGGCGUGCCUAACACAUGCAAGUCGAACGAGAAAGUGGAGCAAUCCAUGAGUAAAGUGGCGACCGGGUGAGUAACACGUGACUAACCUACCCUAGAGUGGGGAAUAACCUCGGGAAACCGGGGCUAAUACCGCAUAACAUCACGAGGUGUAAAUUCCUUGUGAUCAAAGGAGAAAUUCGCUCAAGGAGGGGGUCGCGGCUGAUUAGCUAGUUGGUGAGGUAACGGCCCACCAAGGCUAAGAUCAGUAUCCGGCCUGAGAGGGCGCACGGACACACUGGAACUGAAACACGGUCCAGACUCCUACGGGAGGCAGCAGUGGGGAAUUUUGCGCAAUGGGGGAAACCCUGACGCAGCAACGCCGCGUGGAGGAUGAAGUCCCUUGGGAUGUAAACUCCUUUCGAUCGGGACGAUUAUGACGGUACCGGAAGAAGAAGCACCGGCUAACUCUGUGCCAGCAGCCGCGGUAAUAC
Molecule: ribosomal RNA, 502 nt
Filed under: uncultured bacterium
Lineage: Bacteria
Description: bacterial SSU rRNA
Rfam family: Bacterial small subunit ribosomal RNA
Source: RNAcentral